CCCUGGUGCCACCGUGGUUUGUGAAAUCACUGCCCUGGCAAAUGAACUGGGGGAUAAUGCGGUGGAAGCUGCUUCCCUUGAAGCCGAGUCCUUUAAAUGGGUGCACAUGUAGAGAAAAUUCUCUGCUGUGGUCAUGGGCACGACGUCGGAACGCAGGAGGGUUUGGAUGCAGCCAGCCGGCUUGUUCCCAAUCUUGAUGUCCAUGUACACCUGAGGAUUUGACUAGGCCUUUUUUAGCAGUGGGCUCUCCCUAGGUGCAGAAGAAAUUGCUAGAGAGCUCCCUGAUGCCCCAAGUAGGAGUGCGAGUAUUCUACACACCCACCCAGAACACAACUCCAGUGAGUAGGCUGGAGCAAGUGCUGAUGAGGAAGGCCUUGGGCCCUGACAGGGCUGCAGAAGGCAGGAGCCACGGCCGUAGCACCCAGCUGGAUGCCCAGUGACGGGAGACCUCAGCACUGUCUAACCUGAGGCCCACACACAGGCAUGUUAUCUCAUCAGACUCACCCUCAGAAGCAUCAGUUUCCUUCUCCUGCCCCGCAGUCCCAGAACAGCGCAACCUUAGGAGAUAGAAGGGGCUGACAUGGCAUAAGGAUAAUGUGGAGAGAGGUGCUGAGGGCUAAGGAAGGAAUUCAGGGAAAUAUCACUGCUCAAAGGGUGGACUGAGGAGGAGGAGCCCUUAAAUUAUCCUGGGAAGCAACAGUCAGGAUGGCCUGAUGGAGAAGCAGGAGCAAGUGGAGAGGGCAGGGAGAGCCUUGUGCCUGUGUACUGACUGAGGGGAAGGGACCUCUACAUGAUUCUGCCCCCUUGGAAUUAGGGCAAGAACAGGAAGACAGUGAGCCUGCUGCCAAAGACUAGGAGGAUAGCGGAUGCUGGUGAUGCAGAGUACUCACCAUCCUUUCUCACCUCAGAUAUCCGCCUUGCUCAGCAGCAAUCACAAAUACCUGAGCCCACAUAAGAUAUUUCUCACCUAGAUAAGAAAGCCAAAACUUCUCCUUUAAAUUCACCCAACACCACUCACCUCAGAAAUUCCCUAUGUGGAAAGCAGCAGCCUCUCCUAUGGAAGCAUGAACUGUCAUUCUUACCUCCUGGCUUUCUGCUUUGGGAAGUCUCAACCACCUUCCUCUUUAUCCUCUUCCCAGCAAACUUCUCCACCCAGUCUUC
RNAcentral lists this long non-coding RNA (1161 nucleotides) under Homo sapiens (human). Its description in RNAcentral is "non-protein coding lnc-BMP8A-2:1". The record is from RNAcentral. Lineage: Eukaryota; Metazoa; Chordata; Mammalia; Primates; Hominidae.